Molecule: ribosomal RNA, 1370 nt
Filed under: uncultured bacterium
Lineage: Bacteria
Description: 16S ribosomal RNA
Rfam family: Bacterial small subunit ribosomal RNA
Source: RNAcentral
GAUGAACGCUGGCGGCGUGCCUAAUACAUGCAAGUCGAGCGAACGGACGAGAAGCUUGCUUCUCUGAUGUUAGCGGCGGACGGGUGAGUAACACGUGGAUAACCUACCUAUAAGACUGGGAUAACUUCGGGAAACCGGAGCUAAUACCGGAUAAUAUUUUGAACCGCAUGGUUCAAAAGUGAAAGACGGUCUUGCUGUCACUUAUAGAUGGAUCCGCGCUGCAUUAGCUAGUUGGUAAGGUAACGGCUUACCAAGGCAACGAUGCAUAGCCGACCUGAGAGGGUGAUCGGCCACACUGGAACUGAGACACGGUCCAGACUCCUACGGGAGGCAGCAGUAGGGAAUCUUCCGCAAUGGGCGAAAGCCUGACGGAGCAACGCCGCGUGAGUGAUGAAGGUCUUCGGAUCGUAAAACUCUGUUAUUAGGGAAGAACAUAUGUGUAAGUAACUGUGCACAUCUUGACGGUACCUAAUCAGAAAGCCACGGCUAACUACGUGCCAGCAGCCGCGGUAAUACGUAGGUGGCAAGCGUUAUCCGGAAUUAUUGGGCGUAAAGCGCGCGUAGGCGGUUUUUUAAGUCUGAUGUGAAAGCCCACGGCUCAACCGUGGAGGGUCAUUGGAAACUGGAAAACUUGAGUGCAGAAGAGGAAAGUGGAAUUCCAUGUGUAGCGGUGAAAUGCGCAGAGAUAUGGAGGAACACCAGUGGCGAAGGCGACUUUCUGGUCUGUAACUGACGCUGAUGUGCGAAAGCGUGGGGAUCAAACAGGAUUAGAUACCCUGGUAGUCCACGCCGUAAACGAUGAGUGCUAAGUGUUAGGGGGUUUCCGCCCCUUAGUGCUGCAGCUAACGCAUUAAGCACUCCGCCUGGGGAGUACGACCGCAAGGUUGAAACUCAAAGGAAUUGACGGGGACCCGCACAAGCGGUGGAGCAUGUGGUUUAAUUCGAAGCAACGCGAAGAACCUUACCAAAUCUUGACAUCCUUUGACAACUCUAGAGAUAGAGCCUUCCCCUUCGGGGGACAAAGUGACAGGUGGUGCAUGGUUGUCGUCAGCUCGUGUCGUGAGAUGUUGGGUUAAGUCCCGCAACGAGCGCAACCCUUAAGCUUAGUUGCCAUCAUUAAGUUGGGCACUCUAAGUUGACUGCCGGUGACAAACCGGAGGAAGGUGGGGAUGACGUCAAAUCAUCAUGCCCCUUAUGAUUUGGGCUACACACGUGCUACAAUGGACAAUACAAAGGGCAGCGAAACCGCGAGGUCAAGCAAAUCCCAUAAAGUUGUUCUCAGUUCGGAUUGUAGUCUGCAACUCGACUAACAUGAAGCUGGAAUCGCUAGUAAUCGUAGAUCAGCAUGCUACGGUGAAUACGUUCCCGGG